RNAcentral lists this long non-coding RNA (520 nucleotides) under Numida meleagris (helmeted guineafowl). RNAcentral describes it as "lncRNA (ENSNMEG00000017607.1)". The record is from RNAcentral. Lineage: Eukaryota; Metazoa; Chordata; Aves; Galliformes; Numididae.
CUGGUGUAACAAGAGUUGCAAAUUCAGAACACUUUUAACAGAUCUUUUCCUGAGCUUGCACCCAAGAUAUUUUGUUAUUUUGGACUGGAUUCUCAUAUACAGCAGCAUAAAUGAGAAAGGACACUUCUACAUUUGUACAUUAUACAUAACAUACUUUUUGUGACAAUAAAAUAAUUCUGAUCUAAUCUGCUACACCAGUGUCUGCAAAGGAACAUUAUUUAACAUAUGAGCAGCAAUAAUAAUGCAGCUAAAGAAAUUUGUUUUUCAAUUAUACAACAUUCCAGAAGUCAUACCCUUGAGCCUACUGAGCAGCAUGUUUGGAGUUUGUAUGUGUCCAACUCAGGUGCUGCAUGCAGAAACUGAGAAACCAGGUAGGUAUUUGCAUAUGCAGUUUUCAUGUUACACACUCUUGCCUGUCUCUCUGCACUCAGUGUGUUCGUGUGUUUUGCAGGCUGCCAAAAUACAUCAAGGGUCAGGAGCAGAUUGUCAAAGGCAAGACCUUUCAAUUUGUAGAACAUGA